ACCACAUGUGGUUAUUCGGACCAGUCAGGCCCAGAAGAUACCUAGGUACUUGAUCUGAACUAAUGCAGAAACCGGAAUAAACGUUCAAACCAACAUACGAAGGCGAUUAAGCGCUUAGUCAUGAAGUGGCGUCACCGUCGCGUUCCAAGAUCCUUGUCGCUUCUUCCACGAAAUCGGUCGUUACGUAGCCUAAGCUUCAUCACCUACUCGUCUCUACGACGGCGUGGUUGUUUCUCUGGGGCGUGUAUAAACUGCGUGCGAGUGGUGAAUCAGAAGUGAAUUCACAUAAAUUCUGAAAGUUACAUAGCGUGGGGAGAUUGUGGAUCUAAGUUUGCAGAGUGUGAAGUUUGUAGAUUGAAGCUUGCAGGUUCUUCCCGGUUUAAAAGAGCCUUGUGGAUUGAGCUUCAAACGGUUUCAACACAGUGACCAAAAAAGGCUUCACUUGGCAUGGUCUUGAUGUAGGCAUGGUGGGCAGAAUUGCGAGUCAUCUUCAAGGCAAGAAAGGCAAGUUCAAGCUAUGGUGACCAAUUUGGCAAAAGCUUGAUUAAUGGAGUAAAUGGUGGCCAUGGAUGAACAUGAGAUGCUACAAUGAUGAAGAUGUGAUUAGUGUUAAGAACCUAGGGUGAAAAAAAUGAUGGUUGACUUUGGUCAAAUGUUUGACCAAAAAGUCAAUAGUUGAUAAAAAGUCAACUUUUGUAAAAUUGAAUUUUGAUUUAUUUUUGUAAAGAACAAUGUAUGCUUUGCUUAAAUGAAUGAAGAAUUUGUAUUUUAAAUGUAA
Lathyrus oleraceus (garden pea) is the source of this 778-nucleotide long non-coding RNA. RefSeq lists it as uncharacterized. NCBI's taxonomy places the organism in Eukaryota, Viridiplantae, Streptophyta, Magnoliopsida, Fabales, Fabaceae. The transcript is spliced from 2 exons. The record is from RefSeq and is a predicted model, not a curated record.